GUCUGCAACUCGACUACAUGAAGCUGGAAUCGCUAGUAAUCGCGGAUCAGAAUGCCGCGGUGAAUACGUUCCCGGGUCUUGUACACACCGCCCGUCACACCAUGGGAGUCGGGAAUGCCCGAAGUCAGUGACCCAACCUUUGGAGGGAGCUGCCGAAGGCAGGUCUGAUAACUGGGGUGAAGUCGUAACAAGGUAAC
This 197-nucleotide ribosomal RNA is filed under the name uncultured bacterium. Its description in RNAcentral is "partial 16S ribosomal RNA". It matches the Rfam family "Bacterial small subunit ribosomal RNA", at positions 1303 to 1500 of the family's 1533-position model. The record is from RNAcentral.